AGUGAACGCUGGCGGUAGGCCUAACACAUGCAAGUCGAACGGCGGCACAGUAAGAGCUUGCUCUUACGGGUGGCGAGUGGCGGACGGGUGAGGAAUACAUCGGAAUCUACUUUUUCGUGGGGGAUAACGUAGGGAAACUUACGCUAAUACCGCAUACGACCUACGGGUGAAAGCAGGGGAUCUUCGGACCUUGCGCGAUUGAAUGAGCCGAUGUCGGAUUAGCUAGUUGGCGGGGUAAAGGCCCACCAAGGCAACGAUCCGUAGCUGGUCUGAGAGGAUGAUCAGCCACACUGGAACUGAGACACGGUCCAGACUCCUACGGGAGGCAGCAGUGGGGAAUAUUGGACAAUGGGCGCAAGCCUGAUCCAGCCAUACCGCGUGGGUGAAGAAGGCCUUCGGGUUGUAAAGCCCUUUUGUUGGGAAAGAAAAGCAGCAGGUUAAUACCCCGCUGUUCUGACGGUACCCAAAGAAUAAGCACCGGCUAACUUCGUG
This 492-nucleotide ribosomal RNA is filed under the name uncultured bacterium. RNAcentral describes it as "partial 16S ribosomal RNA". It matches the Rfam family "Bacterial small subunit ribosomal RNA", at positions 29 to 507 of the family's 1533-position model. The record is from RNAcentral.